UGAGCAAUCUGCCCUUCUCUUCGGAAUAAGCGUUGGAAACGACGUCUAAUGCCGAAUACGACCUCCUUUCGCAUGAUCGGAGGUGGAAAGCUCCGGCGGAGAAGGAUGAGCUCGCGGCCUAUCAGCUAGUUGGUGUGGGUAAUGGCCCACCAAGGCGACGACGGGUAGCCGGCCUGAGAGGGUGACCGGCCACACUGGGACUGAGACACGGCCCAAGACCUCCCGUACGGGGA
RNAcentral lists this ribosomal RNA (233 nucleotides) under uncultured bacterium. RNAcentral describes it as "partial 16S ribosomal RNA". It matches the Rfam family "Bacterial small subunit ribosomal RNA", at positions 118 to 347 of the family's 1533-position model. The record is from RNAcentral.